Molecule: ribosomal RNA, 497 nt
Filed under: uncultured bacterium
Lineage: Bacteria
Description: partial 16S ribosomal RNA
Rfam family: Bacterial small subunit ribosomal RNA
Source: RNAcentral
GAUGAACGCUGGCGGCGUGCCUAAUACAUGCAAGUAGAACGCUGAAGGAAGGAGCUUGCUCUUUCCGGAUGAGUUGCGAACGGGUGAGUAACGCGUAGGUAACCUGCCUGGUAGUGGGGGAUAACUAUUGGAAACGAUAGCUAAUACCGCAUAACAGUAGAUGUUGCAUGAUAUCUACUUAAAAGGUGCAAUUGCACCACUACCAGAUGGACCUGCGUUGUAUUAGCUAGUUGGUGAGGUAACGGCUCACCAAGGCGACGAUACAUAGCCGACCUGAGAGGGUGAUCGGCCACACUGGGACUGAGACACGGCCCAGACUCCUACGGGAGGCAGCAGUAGGGAAUCUUCGGCAAUGGACGGAAGUCUGACCGAGCAACGCCGCGUGAGUGAAGAAGGGUUUCGGAUCGUAAAGCUCUGUUGUAAGAGAAGAACGAGUGUGAGAGUGGAAAGUUCACACUGUGACGGUAUCUUACCAGAAAGGGACGGCUAACUACGUG